RNAcentral lists this long non-coding RNA (5012 nucleotides) under Ricinus communis (castor bean). RNAcentral describes it as "long non-coding RNA (RCOM_LNC002183)". Lineage: Eukaryota; Viridiplantae; Streptophyta; Magnoliopsida; Malpighiales; Euphorbiaceae. The record is from RNAcentral.
CAAUGGAUUUAAUCAAUCUAGCUAAUCAUGUUCAUUAUCAAAAUACACAAGAAUUCAAUUACAACAAUGAGCAAAGGUAGAGAAAACCCGAUUACACUCUUGGAUGAGAGUAAAUAGCCCCAAAUCCUUUUGCUCCAAUUGAAUCGAUUCUUGUUCCUCUUGCUCGAUUUGAAAAUCAAUCAACGAACCUCGCCCAAUCUUUGAUCUUUGAAGGGAAUCCGAUUGAAACCUUGAUCCAAGUCUUCUUUUCUCUUAGUUUCAGCUCAGAAAACCCUUAGGGAAAGAAAAAUUAGGGUUUGGGACGUUCUAACCCUAGCCUCCUUUUUUUUCCUCUGUUCGUUCUUUUAAUUAAUACCCCAUGUUGCCUCCAACGCGGCCGUGUCCCUGGCCGUGUUAAGGACACGGUCUGGUGUUCCUGGCCGUGUUACUCUUUGUGGCCGUGCUCCAUAAGAUCUACUUCUUCUUUGAUGUCCAACACGGCCGUGUUGGUUCCCGUGUUGGUAACACGACCUGUGUUUGUGACCGUGUUGAGACCAACACGGCCGUGUCCCUGGCCGUAUUAAGGACACGGUAUGGUGUUCCUGGCCGUGUUACUCGCUGUGGCCGUGCUCCAUAAGAUCUACUUCUUCUUUGAUGUCCAACACGGUCGUGUUGGUUCCCGUGUUGGUAACACGGCCUGUGCUUGUGACCGUGUUGAGAACACAGCCAGUGUUGAGACCAAUGCGACCAUGUUCAGCUUCCUCAUGCUCGUACUUAGCUCGUUUCGGCAGCUUUGACGUCCAAUUAUGCUCCAAUUCUUUUCUUUUUCAUUCUUUGACUUCUUUUGGACCUAAUGCACACAAACAUACGCAUAGGGUGAGUGUUGGUACCAAUUCACAUUCAAAUAUCCAUAAAAUCGAUCUUAAAAAUCCCAUUUAGAUGUGUGUAUUUUACGCACAUCAAAUAACCCCACACUUAGCUCAUUGCUUGUCCUCAAGCAAUCAAAAGUAAAAUAAGGAAAAUAAACCACUAAGAAACAGCACUUAAACUGACAGACAAACUAGAGAGCUCCUGCACAUAUCCUUAACAAGCGUAAGUCAAACAAAAAGAAAAGAAGCAAUCAAUUCAAAUAUCACAACCAAGAUGCCAAUAAUUCACACAAUACUGUCUCAACGAAAUUAUUCAGAACCAACUCCUCACCAGAUUCACUCUAAAUCACUCAAAGUGUUUAAAGGGUAGUGUUUAAUCGCUCAAUGCAUCAACUACUGCCUUACUUACUAUAUGCUUGCUCUUAAAUCCUACUCCUACCACUUAUGGAGAGUCAACAACCAUGUCAAAAGGUCUUUAUAAAGGUUGUAAUGGGGAUUAGGUAAGGGUAGGUAAAUUUGGUCAGAGUUGAACCUAUGGUGUUCUGCAAUGAAAUACAUGACCUGCACACAAGUCACAAUAAUCACAAUGGGUAAACAAUGGAUAGUAGUCCAAGGUAGGAAAUAGGAAUCAAGUCAAAAUGUUUAGCUCAGUUACUUUCUUUCUUUUCAUCACCUUUCCCUCUUAUUCUUCUUUUUAUUUAUUUUUCUUCUUUCUUUUUUUUUUUCUUUUUUUCAUAAAGGAAGAACAUUCACAUAAUAGAGUGAAUUUCUUUUUGGAUUGAAGUAAGCUGCUACAAGAUUCCAAAGCUAUUCCCAAGACAAAAAUUCCCAAUAAAAACAACUAAUGUGCAAAAUCAUAACCCAAAGCAGAAUAAAACUAAGUGGUAAUGGAAUAUGAUAAAAAAUGGUGAAAGAAAGGGUUAUCUACAUAAUCAAUAAACGAAUGAAGGCUAUUUGGCUAGAAUGAAAACCUAAGUGCCUCUAUCAUACCAAAGUGUUAAACUCUCCUUGUGGCCCUCAUAAGCAUUACCGAGCAAGUUCUAAAGGUAAAGACAGUAAUUGACACUCUCAACAAGAAAUAAAUACAAGUAUAUAAAGUGUAUGCUUACAAUUUAGGCUCAAUUUCUCACAAGUGUGCUUUUGAGUAGGUUCCAAACAAAAAUCAUCAAAACAGAAUUAAAUAAAUCAAAGCAACUUAGUGCAAAACUCAAACUAAUUAUCUUACAUUCUUCCGCAAAACUCAACACUAUCGGUUUUACCCGAUCACAUGGACAUAAACAGGAUUUCAAAAUCAAGUCAACAGUAAGAGCAUCGAAACAAAGUGAAAAAUUUUCAAAAUUUUAUAAAAAAUUGCACAAAGAAUAAACAAAUAACUAAGAUGGGAUAAAUAUCACCCACCCCACACUUGACGGACACACUGUCCUCAGUGUACAAAAUAUAUGAAAUGAAAAAGGAAAAAUAAACUAAUACUACCCUGAUUAUGGCUCCGGAGUGAAAAGAGGUGCAUCAGCAGGUAUAUCAGGGCAUUGGCUGGUCUGUGGUGGAGGAGUGACUGCAAAUAAUAAAAUAAGGAAUUAAAAUCGAAAUUGAAAUAAAAAUUAAAUAAAAUAUGAAAACUAAAACUAAUAAAAUGUUUCAAAAUGAAAGGGUAAAAAAUAAAAUUAAAAAAUUAAAAAUGAAAAAGAAAUAAAAUAAAAUUUGGGGUGCCUCCCAAAAGCGCUUCUUUUUGAUGUGAUGAGUCUUCUUAGCUGGACUCAUGGUGAAAAGCAAAUGGGCGUGAUCGACGACCAUCCAUCAUUCUUCCAAGCAAAUGGCUUCAAGUAUCCGCUUAGAAGGAUAAUCGUCAAUGUCCUCUUCCUGACUAUCAAGCAAGCUGCCAGUAUGAUGGGCAAGACUCGCUCCUCGUAUAAUUGCACGUAGUCAUGAUGCUCUAGGGGCUCUUCCAAUUUGGAAGCUGAAGUUUCACCAAUUGGAAGGAUUGACGGUUGGGCAAUUUCUUCAGGAACGUCAAUGGUUUCCUCUAGUCCUUGUCUUGGUUCACUUGCUAGAAGAAACUCGAGCUCCUCCAAGACUUCUUCAUUGGAUAACUCAUGCUCAUCUUCCAUCAUCGAAGGGACUUGUGAAAAAUCUACCAAAAAUUCCUCUAACUGCAACUCAGCAUCAUCAACUGUACGUUCUUGUUGAUAGUCUUUCAAAAGAAUCAUGUUCGCCUCUUCCUUUUCUGGUUCCAUCUCCAUGUUCAAGAAAUCGUCCUGCACAUAAGCAUCAUCGUCAAACAUAAUAGAUAAACCAGAAAAAUUCUCACCUGAACGCAAAGUGACGGCGCUCAAAUGUUCCUCGGAUUCAGUAGCAUUUGAUGGAGUUCCCGAUUGCUCUUCAGCUAGUAACUUGAAGAUUAAGCCUACUUGAUGCUCUAUGUUGUUAAUCGAGGCUUGUUGAUCUUCAAGUAUCCUCUCUGUUUGUUGGAAUCUAUCAUCAAGACUUGUAAUGAACCUCAUCAUCAGCUCCUCCGACACUAACUCUUCAUCUUGAGUUGAAGGUGCAAGAUUAGGCUGCUGAUGUGGUUGCUGAGAUUCUGGUGGUUCUAGGCCAUCUAAGCUCCAUCCAUAGGGUGAAUGAGUGCUCCACUCUUAAUUAUAGGUGCUUCCAUACGAGUCAUUUGGCCAAUUGCCCGUAUAAUUCACCUAUUCAUAGUUAUAAGAACAAUGAGCAACAUCACUAUACAAUGGACGAUCAUUACUCAAAUGUAAACCACAACAAAAUUCACAAAAAACUUGAGAUGAAAGGAUAGGAGUGGAAAGUUGAUCGGUAGCCCUGCAAAACGAUUCCACUCGAGCUUCUAAAGAUGCACAGGUAUCCCAAUUUUUAGCACUCUCUUGGUUCCUAAUCCCAUUUUCCAAUACGUCAUACAAAGAGUUUGAGUUUAGCAUUGAACCUCCUUAUCAUUCACUAUCUGAAUCAUAAACUUAAACAAAAUAAAUAUAUACAAACAAAACAAAAAUAAAUAUAAAUAAAAAUUAAAAAAAAAUGGCUAAAUUAACAAAUAGCAAAUUUCACUCUAGUUUUCGAACAGUCCCCGGCAACGCCGCCAAAAACUUGAUGGGUGCUACUCGUGUUAGCUACAAUCUAAGGCAGUGUACCUAUCGAUGCAGUCUAGCACUAAUGGCGAGUAUCAAGGUCGUAUUCCUCGGGAAAGUGAAAGCCCAGAAUUACUCAUUUGUUCUUUGUUAUAUUAACCUAAAAUUAGCAAUAAAUAAUUUCUAAACUAACUAAUAGCUACAAGCUAAGUCCUAAGGGAGAUGCAAGAGUGAUUGAUAAACGAAAUAACUAAGGCAAGAAGACAAACCCAAAGGGAAUCUAAACUAGUUGGCAAUCAAACAACAGAUAAAGGAUUGGUGAGUCUAAUUAUGCUACCCGUGGACGAAUUCUUAACCGAGUUCGGUUUCUCUCUCGAAAUAAUCGAAUUCUUAAAUCUAAUAACCUAAAGUUGGAAUCUCUUCCUAACGAUUGAUUCUUAAAUUAGCAUUAAGCUUUAAUCCGCCUCUAUUAAGCUUUGUUAAUUCUUAAUCCGGCUAGUUAAUUAUCCUUAUCUCUAAGCGAUUAUUAACCAGUUCUUGCUAUUCAAAAUUCCAAUUGCCAAAUGGACUUCUCAAUCACACAAAGCAAUUUAAACACACAACUCACAACGUCUCAUGAAUAAUGCAUUAUCUUAUUAAUACUGAAAGCAAGAAGAAUAUAAAACUAAUCCAACACAAUCCAACAAUAUAAUACUAAGCCAACAUAGUAAAGAAAUCCCAAUGGAUUCAAUCAAUCUAGCUAAUCAUGUUCAUUAUCAAAAUACACAAGAAUUCAAUUACAACAAUGAGCAAAGGUAGAGAAAACCCAAUUACACCCUUGGAUGAGAGUAAACAGCCCCAAAUCCUUUUGCUCCAAUUGAAUCGAUUCUUGUUCCUCUUGCUCGAUUUGAAAAUCAAUCAACGAACCUCGCCUAAUCUUUGAUCUUUGAAGGGAAUCCGAUUGAAACCUUGAUCCAAGUCUCCUUUUCUCUUGGUUUCAACUCAGAAAACCCUUAGGGAAAGAAAAAUUAGGGUUUGGGACGUUCUAACCCUAGCCUCCUUUUUUUUUCCUCUCUUCGUUCUUUUAAUUAAUACCCUCUGUCGCCUC